UACGGGGGGGGCAAGCGUUGUUCGGAAUUACUGGGCGUAAAGGGCUCGUAGGCGGCCAACUAAGUCAGACGUGAAAUCCCUCGGCUUAACCGGGGAACUGCAUCUGAUACUGGAUGGCUUGAGUUCGGGAGAGGGAUGCGGAAUUCCAGGUGCAGCGGUGAAAUGCGUAGAUAUCUGGAGGAACACCGGUGGCGAAGGCGGCAUCCUGGACCGACACUGACGCUGAGGCGCGAAAGCUAGGGGAGCAAACGGG
RNAcentral lists this ribosomal RNA (253 nucleotides) under uncultured bacterium. RNAcentral describes it as "partial 16S ribosomal RNA". It matches the Rfam family "Bacterial small subunit ribosomal RNA", at positions 524 to 776 of the family's 1533-position model. The record is from RNAcentral.